UUUUAAAUUAUUUCUUUGACGACAUUGGCUUAUUAAAUUGCCGAAGAUAACAUGUUUCAGCAACAUCUGUCAUUAUAUUUCAAUAUUUUUAUAGACGCCAAGGUGUAAACACUCAUUUUCGGAUUUGAGGAGGGAAAAUACUUCUCGACCAAAAGUGAGCCUGGAUUGAUCUUGCUACCUGAACCCGACUGUAGGGGCCGAAAUCCGUGACAAAGCUCUAUGUGCUCUUUAUUAUGUAUUAUGAUCGAGAUAAGGCCGAGGGGCAAUUGCUGUCAGAUGAUCACGAACUGCAACGUUGUCAACACUUCAAAUUUUCUUACCCAAUUUGCAGAAGCAGUGAGGAAGUCGAGCAAGAGGAAACUAUAGAAAAUAGGCUGUAUGACUGUCCUGCGCUAGCAAGAAGAAGUAGUUCUACGUAAGGUUUUUAUUUCCUUGAGGACUUGACUGAAUUAGCGGAUGUGAAAAUUUUUGUUGCAGUCACAUUUGCAUGUGGAGCUAGCGAUUCACGUCAAGCUCCUAUGGGUUGGUAAUUCGGAAAUUUGACAGCAAUCAAAUGUUUUUGUUUUCAACCCAAAACACGAUUCUUUGUCUGCACUUAUUGUUUCCUCUAUUUUAUAUUUUUCCCAAAUAAAUAAAGAAAAACGAGCCAUUGAAACCAAUUAAACAAAGAAAAAUGAUGCGGGAACAGUUUUAUGUGUUGUCAUUAUCAAUUUUUUUUGUCAAUUUCCUCACUAUAAGCAAAGUACUACUAUUCCGUCUAUUUUAGCCAAAAUACUGGCUGCCGCCCUUGUUUUAUGGAGUUUGACAGCAUUCAGCUCGAAAAGCUAAAUGUUAUACACAGUUUGUCGAUGAGCAAGCCUGUGUCGAUCGGCACCACACGGAAUGGAACUUUGAGAUCCGAUUUGUAUAGUGGUCAUCGCUAAUACGUAAAGCUCAGCUGGGAGAUACCGGUCGCAUUCACAUCUUGCGAAUGGUGGAAUGUUCCAUCCGGAAAAAAAUGUAAUUGCAGUCGCAGACAAUCAGGGUCUCAGCGAGCGGCUCCGGCUAUUGCUUAAUCAUUAAGUGCCUACAAUUUUCGAUAUGACAAGACAAGUUAUGGGCGCCUUUAAUCAACCAUUUAGAAACAAGGCCACCUCUCGACAGACGAAGAUUACACUAUACAAGAGACUGAUACUUCCCGUGCUGUUAUAUGGUUCUGAAGCAUGGGUACUUGUGAAAGCAGAUGAGGCAGUGCUUGGAGUAUUUGAGAGAUUCUUCGUAAAAUAAAUGGACCAGUUUGCGUUAAUGGAGCAUAUAGGCGAGGUAUGAACCACGAGCUGUAUGAGCUUUAUGACUACGAUAGCAUAGUAGUCAACGCAUCAAAAUACAACGGCUGCGUUGGCUAGGUCAUGUGGUCAGAAUGGAUGAAGAAGCUCCAGCAAAGAAGUAUUUUGAAGGCAA
Molecule: long non-coding RNA, 1440 nt
Organism: Stomoxys calcitrans (stable fly)
Lineage: Eukaryota; Metazoa; Arthropoda; Insecta; Diptera; Muscidae
Exons: 3
Source: RefSeq, a predicted model, not a curated record